Molecule: unclassified non-coding RNA, 126 nt
Organism: Cavia aperea (Brazilian guinea pig)
Lineage: Eukaryota; Metazoa; Chordata; Mammalia; Rodentia; Caviidae
Source: Ensembl
UGGCAGUUAAAGGACAGAAACAGCAAUAAGACUGUCUGGCUCCAUUUUCCCAGUGCCGCCAGCUGGGAGUUAAGCUGACUGACGUUGUGAAAGCCUGGCCCAUUUCGUUCACAGCAGGAAGGUAGG